UCAUACUAUUACAAUAGUAAAAAUCUUUAUACUAUUACAUAUAGAAUAUAGAAUUAUAUAUAGAACAAUAGUGAAAAUCUUUUCUACUACUAUAUUUAGAAUUGUGCACACAACAAAUUGUUCUUAUUUUUUUCUCAUUGCAACAUUCUUCUAACAACCUCAAUUAAUCAAGCAGAAGGGUAAUCACAGAUAAUCCAAACAUAUUUGAUUAGAUGGUACAUAUAGCCAGACGGUGAGAUUAAGUCUUACAAACGAAACAUUAAUCACAGCUUAUAAUCCACAACAAAAAAUCACCAUUCCAAGAAACCAUUAGAGCCACACUUGUACUUGUCUUUUCCUUUGCACUCCAACUCCAAAUCCUCAGAGAUGAAUGGAACUUUCUGAAAAAUCAACAUUAUAAUUAAUAUGUAAUCUGAAUUUAUUAUGUAACUAGUUACUUAGUUUAAUUAGUUUUACCUUUUGCUUGGCAAGAUCCUGGCAGCCAGUGAAGUUCUCAGGGAACUUGCAGGAGCCAAACUGGACAGUGUAUGCUCUUGCAAAGUUUGCUCCACUUGUUGCCAGCCUCUUCUGGUCAUUCAAUUCCUGCUCAUCGACACAAUCAUUCAGUUUUCGCAAGGUAGUAAUUAUCAAUAGCUAUCAGAAUAUGUAAGUUGUUUGAAUACAACAUACCUUGUUGACUUUGCUCUUCUCAAGGUAGUCAUCAAUGACACCAGCGUUGGCCGAGAAGGAAGUAGAAACAGUUGCAGUGGCAAACAGUGUAGCUGCAAGGAAAGCCACUGCAGCCUUUUUCCCAUUU
RNAcentral lists this long non-coding RNA (796 nucleotides) under Linum usitatissimum (flax). RNAcentral's name for it is "long non-coding RNA (LUSI_LNC007531)". The record is from RNAcentral. Lineage: Eukaryota; Viridiplantae; Streptophyta; Magnoliopsida; Malpighiales; Linaceae.